Molecule: unclassified non-coding RNA, 624 nt
Filed under: Xanthomonas translucens
Lineage: Bacteria; Pseudomonadati; Pseudomonadota; Gammaproteobacteria; Lysobacterales; Lysobacteraceae
Description: partial contains 16S ribosomal RNA, and 16S-23S ribosomal RNA intergenic spacer
Rfam family: Bacterial small subunit ribosomal RNA (bases 1-116)
Source: RNAcentral
CCACAGACGCAGGUAGCUUAACCUUCGGGAGGGCGCUUGCCACGGUGUGGCCGAUGACUGGGGUGAAGUCGUAACAAGGUAGCCGUAUCGGAAGGUGCGGCUGGAUCACCUCCUUUUGAGCAUGACAGCUACGCCUACAGGCGUCCUCACAAGUAACCUGCAUUCAGAGAGUUCCGCCAUAGGGCGGAGCACCCCGAUUUCGGGGCCAUAGCUCAGCUGGGAGAGCACCUGCUUUGCAAGCAGGGGGUCGUCGGUUCGAUCCCGACUGGCUCCACCAGAUUUGCAGAUCCCUCUGCAAACGCUCGCACCUGCGUGUGCGGACGGUCUCAGGGACCUGCAAGAGCCAAGACUUUGGGUCUGUAGCUCAGGUGGUUAGAGCGCACCCCUGAUAAGGGUGAGGUCGGUGGUUCGAGUCCUCCCAGACCCACCACUCUGAAUGUAAGAAGCACACUAAGAAUUUAAGAUGCGCCAGCAGUGAGGCUGGGGUAUGUUCUUUUAAAAUUUGUGACGUAGCGAGCGUUUGAGAUCAAACUAUCUUGACGUGUCGUUGUGGCUAAGGCGGAACCUCGAGUCCCUAGAAAUUGAGUCGUUAUAGUUCGCGUCCGCCCGUCUACCCACGGACUC